UCUACGAAUCAGGCUGCCGGGUUGUGGCGACGAGUGUACUCUUCACCUCGAAACCCCAGAACACCUUUAGCGAUCUGGGAAGCAAGAUGAAGAACCACAAAGAGAAGCGUUUGGGGAGACGAGGCUUGCCGUCGACGAGUCUUGGUGGAACCACGCGACGAGGUGAAGGUUGCCAUGGAGUCUGAACCCCUACCGGCACCAAGCGCAUGGUGAGGAGAGCUUGGCGAUGUCCACCUCCGCACUCGAUCUUGAGCACGACGUGCCUGUCGCCCUGUUCCUGAUGCCGCCACCGACAAAUUCUUCCAGAAUCGCUGAUCAGCGCAUGUCUGCAUGAUGCCCCACCGCCGCCUUCACUGCGCCCCGCACGGCAGCGCGCUCGGGCGGCGGCGAGACGGCUUCACUUAGGUGGUGUUUAGAUCCAGGGACUUAACUUUAGUCCCUGUCUUUAGACACUAAUUUAGAGUAUUAAAUAUAAACUACUUACAAAACUAAUUACAUAAAUAAAAGCUAAUUCACGAGACAAAUUUUUUAAGCCUAAUUAAUCUAUAAUUAGAGAAUGUUUACUGUAGCAUCACAUAGGCUAAUCAUAGAUUAAUUAGGCUCAUUAGAUUCGUCUCGCAAAUUAGUCCAAGAUUAUGGAUGGGUUUUAUUAAUAGUCUACGUUUAAUAUUUAUAAUUAAUUUUCAAACAUCCGAUGUGAUAGGGACUUAAAAGUUUUCCCAUCUAAACAGGCCUUAGCCGGAUCGCCGAUCCACGCUCUAAUCACGGAUCGGUGCGCUCGCUUCUGAAACGGCUACCUGACCGAAUAAUGACAGGCCCCGCUGUACCAUACAAGUAC
RNAcentral lists this long non-coding RNA (838 nucleotides) under Oryza sativa (Asian cultivated rice). RNAcentral's name for it is "long non-coding RNA (OSAT_LNC001521)". The record is from RNAcentral. Lineage: Eukaryota; Viridiplantae; Streptophyta; Magnoliopsida; Poales; Poaceae.